GUUGUCCUUGCUCUUGUACUGACAACUUUGUUUGCUCCAUA
Molecule: small RNA, 41 nt
Filed under: Arabidopsis thaliana (thale cress)
Lineage: Eukaryota; Viridiplantae; Streptophyta; Magnoliopsida; Brassicales; Brassicaceae
Description: ATSL114490
Source: RNAcentral